AAGAUAAAGAAACUGGUUCAAGAAUAAUUAAGCAUGGCAUGUUACAUUAAGACACAAAUGAAUUAAUAAUUUACACAUUUUUUAUUGUUAUUUUUAGGUUUCGAACAAAGAUUAUCUUUGAAAUGAUUAGAUAUAUAGUUUAAGGUUUUAAUCCUUCGAAUCAACCGGAAAGACAAUAAUCUAUUCAUACACGUCCUUGUGUAAACAAAAUUAAUUAGUGAUUAAUUAAAGGUAGAAAGACAAUAUUUUCCCCGCAGUGAACGAAAAAACUAAUUAAAAAUACUGUAGUUCUGUAUGUUAAGUACAUUUUAUUAAACAUGACAAGAGGAGAUAAUCUAUAAUUUAAGUUGUGUAUAGAAUAAACGUGGCAGGAAGUGCCCGCUAGAUGGAGCUAACAAUAGUAAUAUAAUUUUAUUGUUUUCACUAUUACUUUAGACAAUCGGUUGGCACCAUACUGAAUGUGUGUGAAAAGCCUCACACCUUUCUCACUCCACCUGUCAACUGUUCACGUGAUGCUAAUCAUCCUCUGCCAGGCACGGAAGGGGAGACACGAGACCGCUGCUGGCCAUGACAAACGGAGGCGGUGGAUGGAGGAGGAAGGUGUGUGAACGAGGACAGGAGGAAGAAAGGAGGGGAUAGGACACAAAGAAUGCUGACGCCUGGCAUCCCACUUUCACAUAAAGCAAUUUAAUUCCGUAAAAAAAAGCUCUGGACCUUUGGCCUUCACUGAAGCGAAGCUAUGCGCCAUAACUCGGAGAGCCAAGACAAAGGGAGAGAAAUUACGGUGUGGAUGCUGUUUAGACAACCCCGAGGCGACGGGCGCUUCAAUCAAGCAGCUUCAGUAGUGAUUUUAUUAUGACGAUUUCCCGUCUGCCUCGCGUCUUUCUCGGGCCCGACGAGAUAGAGGGCAAUGAAUAUCAAGGCAUUGAAGUGAUUUCCCCUGGAGUGUGAUGGAGUGUGGACUGGGUGUCAGCGUGCUGGGAACGGCAGCGCGGCCAUGUUGACUUCGAGAGCGUCUCGAGCAGCACAUCAUCUGUGUGCGCAUUUAUCUUCAUCGACUGCGUCGUCUGUCUCGUUGCAUCACAGUUGUCGCUUCUGGCACGCCUGCUGCUGUCUUUGUCCUGGACUGCUUUCAUCUCGCUUCUGCCAGCGGCUGUAAAAACAU
RNAcentral lists this unclassified non-coding RNA (1165 nucleotides) under Pomacea canaliculata. Its description in RNAcentral is "uncharacterized LOC112570599, transcript variant X2". The record is from RNAcentral. Lineage: Eukaryota; Metazoa; Mollusca; Gastropoda; Architaenioglossa; Ampullariidae.